This 265-nucleotide ribosomal RNA is filed under the name uncultured archaeon. RNAcentral's name for it is "partial 16S ribosomal RNA". It matches the Rfam family "Archaeal small subunit ribosomal RNA", at positions 714 to 982 of the family's 1478-position model. The record is from RNAcentral.
AGACGUCUACAUUAGAUACCCCUGUAGUCCCAGCCGUAAACUAUGCGCGUUAGGUGUAUCGGUGACCACGAGUCACCGAGGUGCCGAAGGGAAACCGUGAAACGUGCCGCCUGGGAAGUACGGUCGCAAGGCUGAAACUUAAAGGAAUUGGCGGGGGAGCACCACAACAGGUGGAGCCUGCGGUUUAAUUGGACUCAACGCCGGGAAGCUCACCGGAUAGGACAGCAGAAUGAUUGCCGGGCUGAAGACCCUGCAUGACUAGCUG